RNAcentral lists this ribosomal RNA (496 nucleotides) under uncultured bacterium. Its description in RNAcentral is "partial 16S ribosomal RNA". It matches the Rfam family "Bacterial small subunit ribosomal RNA", at positions 28 to 506 of the family's 1533-position model. The record is from RNAcentral.
GAUGAACGCUGGCGGUGUGCCUAAUACAUGCAAGUCGAGCGAACAGACGAGGAGCUUACUCCUCUGACGUUAGCGGCGGACGGGUGAGUAACACGUGGAUAACCUACCUAUAAGACUGGGAUAACUUCGGGAAACCGGAGCUAAUACCGGAUAACAUGUUGAACCGCAUGGUUCAACAGUGAAAGACGGUCUUGCUGUCACUUAUAGAUGGAUCCGCGUCGCAUUAGCUAGUUGGUAAGGUAACGGCUUACCAAGGCAACGAUGCGUAGCCGACCUGAGAGGUGGAUCGGCCACACUGGAACUGAGACACGGUCCAGACUCCUACGGGAGGCAGCAGUAGGGAAUCUUCCGCAAGGGGCGAAAGCCUGACGGAGCAACGCCGCGUGAGUGAAGAAGGUCUUCGGAUCGUAAAACUCUGUUAUUAGGAAAGAACAAAUGUGUAAGUAACUAUGCACGUCUUGACGGUACCUAAUCAGAAAACCACGGCUAACUACGU